CCCUUAGAUGUUCUGGGCCGCACGCGCGCUUCACUGAUGAACGCAACGAGACCACCUGUACCGAAAGGCAUGGGUAAACUUGUGAAAGUUCAUCGUGAUGGGGAUAGAUUAUUGCAAUUAUUAAUCUUCAACGAGGAAUUCCUAGUAAGCGCGAGUCAUCAGCUCGCGUUGAUUACGUCCCUGCCCUUUGUACACACCGCCCGUCGCUCCUACCGAUUGAAUGGUCCGGUGAAAUCUUCGGAUUGCUGGAUAGGACUUCAUUGACCUAUCUGCGAGAAGUUGCUUGAACCUUAUCAUUUAGAGGAAGGAGAAGUCGUAACA
Molecule: ribosomal RNA, 321 nt
Filed under: uncultured eukaryote
Lineage: Eukaryota
Description: partial 18S ribosomal RNA
Rfam family: Eukaryotic small subunit ribosomal RNA
Source: RNAcentral